This is a small nuclear RNA of Salvia hispanica, 161 nucleotides long. RefSeq annotates it as U1 spliceosomal RNA. NCBI's taxonomy places the organism in Eukaryota, Viridiplantae, Streptophyta, Magnoliopsida, Lamiales, Lamiaceae. The record is from RefSeq and is a predicted model, not a curated record.
AUACUUACCUGGACGGGGUCAAUGGAUUAUCCAUAAGGCCCAUCGCCUAGGUUGGCGACCUCCAUUGCACUUUGGAAGGGUGUCUGCCUAAGAUUGACCCUAGUGGUUGAGUCUGCGUCAUAAUUUGUUCUAGAGGGGGCAUGUGUUCGCGCUUUCCCUGC